Molecule: transfer RNA, 71 nt
Filed under: Lactococcus cremoris
Lineage: Bacteria; Bacillati; Bacillota; Bacilli; Lactobacillales; Streptococcaceae
Description: Lactococcus lactis subsp. cremoris tRNA-Gln
Rfam family: tRNA
About the family: Transfer RNA (tRNA) molecules are approximately 80 nucleotides in length.
Source: RNAcentral
AUGGGUAUAGCCAAGCGGUAAGCAAGGGACUUUGACUCCCUCAUGCGUUGGUUCGAAUCCAGCUACCCCGU